This 202-nucleotide long non-coding RNA is filed under the name Bos taurus (domestic cattle). RNAcentral's name for it is "long non-coding RNA NONBTAT024376". Lineage: Eukaryota; Metazoa; Chordata; Mammalia; Artiodactyla; Bovidae. The record is from RNAcentral.
AAAACAUUUGUUACAGAAAUUUCAGAAAGUUUUUCCCGUGGUAUCUGCCAACUUCUGCUUCGAAUUAUAUAUCUAAACAAACAAGCUCAAAGUGCAUUGUGAAUCCAAUAAUAGACCUUUAAAAAAGAAAACUUCCUCUAAUUAUUUAUAGGAAUUCAUUUAAAAAUGAUACUUGAAUAACUUUCCCCAUUAUAAACUAUGG